Molecule: long non-coding RNA, 361 nt
Organism: Talpa occidentalis (Iberian mole)
Lineage: Eukaryota; Metazoa; Chordata; Mammalia; Eulipotyphla; Talpidae
Exons: 3
Source: RefSeq, a predicted model, not a curated record
UACAUAAAGAAGGUCUUUUGACAAUUAAAACUGCUGAAAUUAAAAGGGAUUAUAGGAGACUGUGAGCUUCCCAGUACAAGAAGUAUUUAAGUUAUUCUGGCAGCACUGUGGUGGAGAUGAAGGGAAACGAAAAGAGAUGGAGGGACAGUUAAGAACACACUGGAAUAACCUGGGCGGAAAAGAGAACUUGCCUUGUGUCAAGGAAAACAGGCAAGACAAAUGGCUCAGGGACAGGUUUUAGAGCUACCCCACAACUGAGGAAGGAAGGCAAAGUACUACCAGCGCACUGGCUUCUACCUUGAAACAUACACCACCUAGAUUCCAAAUUAAAAAAAAAAUUUAAAAAGUAAAAUUUUUUAGU